This 253-nucleotide ribosomal RNA is filed under the name uncultured bacterium. Its description in RNAcentral is "partial 16S ribosomal RNA". It matches the Rfam family "Bacterial small subunit ribosomal RNA", at positions 524 to 776 of the family's 1533-position model. The record is from RNAcentral.
UACGUAGGGUGCAAGCGUUAAUCGGAAUUACUGGGCGUAAAGCGUGCGCAGGCGGUUUCUUAAGUCAGAUGUGAAAGCCCCGGGCUUAACCUGGGAACUGCGUUUGAAACUGGGAGACUUGAGUGUGGCAGAGGGGGGUGGAAUUCCACGUGUAGCAGUGAAAUGCGUAGAUAUCUGGAGGAACACCGGUGGCGAAGGCGGCAUCCUGGACCGGCAUUGACGCUGAGGAGCGAAAGCCAGGGGAGCAAACGGG